This 598-nucleotide long non-coding RNA is filed under the name Salmo salar (Atlantic salmon). RNAcentral's name for it is "lncRNA (ENSSSAG00000090493.1)". The record is from RNAcentral. Lineage: Eukaryota; Metazoa; Chordata; Actinopteri; Salmoniformes; Salmonidae.
GCCAGCCGAGCCGUAGAACAAGAUGGCGGACUCCUUAGCAACGGCUCAGGGAGAGGAGAUCGAACCGGAGAAAGAAGGCAAGGAGAGACGGAUGGAGGGAGAUAGUGAGAACCGGGGAUCGAAGGAGACCUCCGAGGUGACGGAAACGCUGGGGUUUUACGACAAGAAGAAAGUCCAAAAGGACAAGAAACGGAGUUUGUCUGGUGAGUACUGAACCAGAACCUCAGCUUGAGGAGAGGAGAGGAGAGCCCAGGUACUGGUUCAGGUGAGUACUGAACCAGAACCUCAGCUUGAGGAGAGGAGAGGAGAGCCCAGGUACUGGUCCAGGUGAGUACUGAACCAGAACCUCAGCUUGAGGAGAGGAGAGCCCAGGUACUGGUCCAGGUGAGUACUGAACCAGAACCUCAGCUUGAGGAGAGGUAGUAGUAGUAGCAGCUAGCUAACAGUAGUAGUAGUAGUAGUAGUAGUAGCAGCUAGCUAACAGUAGUAGUAGUAGUAGUAGUAGUAGUAGCAGCUAGCUAACAGUAGUAGUAGUAGUAGUAGUAGUAGUAGCAGCUAGCUAACAGUAGUAGUAGUAGUAGUAGCAGCUAGCUAACAG